UGGUGACGCGUGCGCCGGCCGGCCGCCGAGGGGCUACCGUUCUGCCUCCGACCGGUCGUGUGUGGGUUUACUCGGAGAAAUACUAGGCUUUAGAAUUUCACCAUAUGAAUUUUGGGAGAGAGGAGCACAGUUCAGCCCAUAACUAACACACGACGGAAUGAAGUUGAUAAUAGUGAGACCUUGUUGGUACAAGACUAUGUAACAUAACCUGCGCUUCUCAACAAAGAAUUGCUUUUCUGACUUCUGCACUCAGUAGACUACUCAACAUGAAGGCAAUAAGAAUGAAGACCUCUAUGUAUAAUAAUUGACUUCCACUUAAUAAAUAAGGUUACUUGGUACACUGGUCGACAAAACCUUGAAAUGUUGAUGUUUAAGGGCUGUUGAUUGCUGGCAGCAAAGAAGUCCAACUGUGCUGGUACCCGAGAUAGCGUCUCCACAUUUUCUUCCAGGAUCAUCACCUUUGUUCUAAAUAGCUCCCACAUAGUGUGAACAGAAGUCAUAUGUUUUAGAUUUUCUGCCUUGGCACCCAGGAAACCAGUAUGAUUGAGUAAACAUAUUAAACUUCCUCUGCAUUUCCAGCCUGAACAGAUGUUGAGUACAAGCUGAUCCACCUACGUUCAACCUGAGAGAGUCCACAUCCACAGACUGUUUCAUUUCCCUUUUUCAAUUUACAUAGAAGCAUAGAUUCUUGCUGGCAUAUACAAAUGCGCCAUUUAAGGCAAUCAAAAAUGGUUCCACAUCUCAUCUGAUUUCCACAAUUGUUGCUGUAACGAUGGACUACUGAGGAGAGAGACAAUUUCUCUGGCACAUCUUCCCACAUUUUAGCAACAUGUUCAUGGAGAGCCAAUAUUCAGUAAUUACAGCCCAAUUCCUCACAAUUUCACAAUUCGCUAACAAUAUGCAUUUUCACAAUGUAAAGCUGAUUUUCCUUUAACCAAAUCAAACAUGAAAAGAUAGCUGCAUGCAAUGGGCAAUCUAGAUCAUUAGAAGAUUGAUGUAAAAUUAGAGGACACUGAGACUGGAAUAGAUUGCAAACUUCAGGGAGCUCAGAAAACUUGUAAACUCUACAUUUUGAGGAAAUAUGUUGUCGAUGCUUUUGCAACUCUAUGCAGUAACUUAACAAAUAAAGCCUUAAAGUAAC
Molecule: long non-coding RNA, 1141 nt
Organism: Homo sapiens (human)
Lineage: Eukaryota; Metazoa; Chordata; Mammalia; Primates; Hominidae
Gene: MIR663AHG
Product: MIR663A host gene
Source: Ensembl